Molecule: long non-coding RNA, 1458 nt
Organism: Drosophila simulans
Lineage: Eukaryota; Metazoa; Arthropoda; Insecta; Diptera; Drosophilidae
Exons: 2
Source: RefSeq, a predicted model, not a curated record
UCUUUUUCAGAUUCAGAUAGUUUCUCGAUUCUGAGUAGCACUGUUUGCCGUUAUUUCACCUCACUAAGCGAUUUGCGCCCAUGCCCGAGAAUGCUAAAGGUAAUUCCGAAAUCCCGGCGAGAAUGCCAGGACUUGGCUCAUUUGUCAAGUUGGCUUAGCCAGACUUAGCCGAUUUGCUGGGCGCGGGCGGUGGCAGGAAUCGGAAUACGGAAUACGGAGUACGGAAUACUGCAUACGGAGUACACGGAAUCAUUAGUCCCGGUGCCGUGUCACCUGUUGUGUGGUCCGCGGGCGCCUACGCCCCAGUCGGGGCUGAGUUCGAACGGAUCAGGAAACGUUAUCGCCGGGCACGAAUGGAAACAGAUGUGCCGCCGGAAUCAAUUUCCCACCGUGGAACCACCGUCAAAGCCCUGAGAUUGCGCAAAACCAAGAGCCACCAUCCGAUCCGUUCAAACUAAAUUUAUUGCAGAUCAAAUGACGCCUCAGAAACGAUUCGCCGGCCACACGAUACCCUCGAUAUAGUCUAGGAAUGAGGAGACGCGUGUGUAGAGACCCGGGGUCUUGGUGGCGCAGCCGAAGCCCGAGGAGAUUACGCCCACGAUCGAGUAGAUGCCGUCGACGUCGUCGAUCUCCAGGAUGAGCGGGCCACCGGAGUCGCCCUGACAGGCGUCCUUCUUCUGAUUCUUGUCCGCCGCGCACAGCUGUGAGGCGAUCACGCCUCUCCUCAACGUCCGGUUGGCACUCGGCUGCUCUGCAAAGGAUGCAUUGCACUCGUCAGCCGGCACCAGAUCCAGAGCCGCCCGCAGCAGGAUCUUUGAUACGGCGCGAUCUGCAAGGACACAAUUGGCUGACAAUCCACUGCAGUUUACGGACACACAACUUACUGGUCACAUUCAUUACACCCCAACCGGCGACGAAGUAUUUGGAGUUCGCGGGCGGAUCAGUGCGAUCCGUAUAGAGACAGGCGGGACGGAUGACAUCGGACUCCUUGGCAUCCUCGGCCAGCUGCAGGAUGGCGAUGUCGUAGUACUUGCUACUGCCGGAAUAGUUCGGAUGAAUCUGAACGUCAAUCUGGAAGUGGAAUUGAUGAGUUCAACUGGUUAUCUGGCACAUUUGACACAUGGCGAUACUAACCACAUUUAUGUCCUGGUAGCCCGGCUCAGGAUUCUCUAUGUUCAGCGCACCCAGACGAACGAAACUGGGCGUGCUAUCGUCACUAUUGACGCAGUGAGCCGCUGUGAGGACGAACCGACUGGCGAUGAGCGAUCCACCGCAUCGGAACGUCGCGCUCCCGAAGGAGUUGUACGCAAUGGCCGCCAUGUGGGGAUAGACGCCCUUGUCCACCCGUUCGCCGUCCAGGAUGUGCACCGUCAGGGGCUUUCCACCGGAUCGGAUCUUCUCGCACGCUGUCAUCAGAUCAUUGGAAAUUUAAAAUAUAUAUUCAUAUAAAUUCCGAAA